GAUGAAGAACGCAGCGAAAUGCGAUACGUAGUGUGAAUUGCAGAAUUCCGUGAAUCAUCGAAUUUUUGAACGCAAAUUGUACUUUUCAGUAUUCUGGAAAGUAUGCUUGGUUGAGGGUCAUUAAAAUAACAUUCGUGAAUUUUUUUUCGCGGAUUUGAGUUUUCCAGUAUUUUUUAUUUAUAAAUAAAUGUUGGUAACUUUAAAAUUAUUUUAUCUCUUGGUUACAAGUUAAAAACGUACUAUAUGUGUGGUUCGUUGAUAUCUUGUCCAUCUAUAUAUAUUAUGUUUGUACUUGGUCCACAUUGGGUUCUGUGUGAACAUAUAUUUUUUUUUAUGACCUCAGCUCAAGCAAGAAAACCCGCUGAACUUAAGCAUAUCAAUAAGCGGAGGA
This 391-nucleotide unclassified non-coding RNA is filed under the name soil metagenome. RNAcentral describes it as "partial contains 5.8S ribosomal RNA, internal transcribed spacer 2, and large subunit ribosomal RNA". The stretch from base 1 to 120 matches the Rfam family "5.8S ribosomal RNA", at positions 35 to 154 of the family's 154-position model. The record is from RNAcentral.